Lynx canadensis (Canada lynx) is the source of this 127-nucleotide small nucleolar RNA. Ensembl annotates it as small nucleolar RNA SNORA43. The record is from Ensembl. NCBI's taxonomy places the organism in Eukaryota, Metazoa, Chordata, Mammalia, Carnivora, Felidae.
AUUGCCCUGCAGGUGCCGGACCUGCUGUUCUGCUGCACCUGUGACGUUGGGGCAAAGAGGAAAUGGCUGUUUCCACGCUCAGUGCUCACAACAGUGAGCACUAAGCACGGUCUGUAGCCCCACGUGC